This 1524-nucleotide ribosomal RNA is filed under the name uncultured soil bacterium. RNAcentral's name for it is "bacterial SSU rRNA". It matches the Rfam family "Bacterial small subunit ribosomal RNA". The record is from RNAcentral.
AGAGUUUGAUCCUGGCCCAGGAUGAACGCUGGGACUGUGCUUUACACAUGCGAGUUGAACGUUAUAGCAAUCAGGAAGCUAAACGCUUUUUGAUCUAGAAAGUGGCGAACGAGUGAGUAAUACUGUAGAACUUGCCAAAAGGUCGGGGACAAAAUACCUGAUAGAAUCUAUAUUGAUUUAUAGAUGAAAGAUUAAUUUCGCCUUUUGAUAGGCUAUGGGAGGUUUAGGUAGUUGGUGGGGUAAAGGCUUACCAAGCCGAUGAUCCUUAGUUGGUCAGGGAGGUCGGACAACCACGUUGGAACUGAGACAAGGUCCAAGCUUUUUCGGAGGGCAGCAGUGAGGAAUAUUGGGCAAUGAACGAAAGUUUGACCCAGCGACAGUCCGUGAGUGAGUAAAUGAAGGUCAAUCUAUCGGCUGUAAAACUCUUUCGGCGAGUAAAGAUAAUGACAGAACUCGAGGCAAGAAGCCGGGACUAAAUUUUGUGCCAGCAGUCGCGGCAAUACAAAAUCGGCGAGUGUUAUCCGGAGUUAAUGGGCGUAAAGGGUAUGUAGGUUGCUAUUCAAUUAUACUGAGAAAUGCUAGGGAGGAUACCUUAGAAUUUCAGUUUUAAAAUGUUUAGCUUUGAGGAAUAAAGAGGUUGGACGUAUUUCCAGAGUAGAGGUCGAAUUCUUAGAUACUGGAAGGACGAUCAUUUAGCGAAGGCAUCUUUCCAUUUAUUUCUGACGCUGAGGUACGAAGGCAUGGGGAGCAAACAGGAUUUGAUACCCUGGUAGUCCAUGCAGUCAACUAUGCAUAUUAAAGGUUUGGAUUUUUUCUGAGUCUUAACAGCUAACGCGUUAAAUAUGCCGCCUGGGGAGUACGAUCGCAAGGUUGAAACUCAAGGGAAUUGACGGAAACUUUUACUAGCAGUGGAGCGUGUGGUUUAAUUUGAUGAUCCACGAAAAACCUUACCAGUUUGUAGGUUAAAAGGAUGUUUAUAACCUGCUGUAUCCAAGUAUAUCUUGGAAUAUGGUAACGUAGGUUAUUGAACUUAUACUUUUAGCCACAGGUGUUGCAUGGCUGUUGUAAGCCCGUGUUGUGAAACGUAUGGUUAAAUUCUACGAACGGGCGAGACCCUUCUAUUUUGUUACCGUUGGUUAAACAAAUUGACUAACUUUGGGGUAUUUUACCUCGGAGAAUGAAGGUGAGGAGCACAACAAGUCCUUAUGGCCCGUAUAAACUGGGCUACACAUGCGCUACAAUGGAGGGCACAAUAGGAUGCAAGAUUUUUUUCGAGCUAAUCCUUAAAACCUUUCUUAGUUCAGAUUACUUUCUGCAAUUCGAAAGUAUGAAGGCGGAAUUGCCAGUAAUCGCGUAUCAGCAGAGUCGCGGUGAAUAUGUACUGAAGUUUUGUACAAACUGCCCGUCACGGCCUGAAAGGUGGUUCGCUUAAAGUAGUCUUAUUUAGUUUACAUACCGUUAUGAGUAGUAAAAGAAUAACCUACGUCUGUGGAUUGCUAAUUGGGACGAAGUCGUAACAAGGUA